UACGUAGGUGGCAAGCGUUGUCCGGAAUCACUGGGCGUAAAGCGCACGUAGGCGGAUUGCUAAGUCAAGGGUGAAAUCCUGGAGCUCAACUCCAGAACUGCCUUUGAUACUGGUGAUCUUGAGUCCGGGAGAGGUGAGUGGAACUGCGAGUGUAGAGGUGAAAUUCGUAGAUAUUCGCAAGAACACCAGUGGCGAAGGCGGCUCACUGGCCCGGUACUGACGCUGAGGUGCGAAAGCGUGGGGAGCAAACAGG
This 253-nucleotide ribosomal RNA is filed under the name uncultured bacterium. RNAcentral describes it as "partial 16S ribosomal RNA". It matches the Rfam family "Bacterial small subunit ribosomal RNA", at positions 524 to 776 of the family's 1533-position model. The record is from RNAcentral.